GAAUAAGUUACAUAUUAAUUAAAUAAAUACAAUUAAAUACUGAUUUAUUUUUGCCAUUGGGUCAUCCCCACACUAUCUGGUUACAGUACUAGGAUGAGAUGAAGAAAGAUUAGACAGUGACGUUAUCAAUCUGAAGAUUAUUCAGGAAGUUAUCAGCAUUGGAAGACAUAUUGAACUCCCAAUGAAUGGAGCUGACUGAAACAAUGGCAACAGUUGGCUCUGAUACUUCCUGAUCUUGAUUAUGACAAUGUCUCAGUCUCAUCCCUCUUUGUCUCAUUCUGGCUACAGAAAGCCUCAAGGGGGAAAGAAAUACCUUCACAACACAGACAGACAGGAAGGGGGAAGGAUCAGGCAUUUGAAGCAUAGCUUCACCUAGUCUCCUGUUGCUUUUCCUGGAAUAACCUAGCAUAGACAGUUCUCCCAACCAACCCACCAACCUCUCCAAUGAUUCUGAAAGUGAUACACUCCUAACAUGAGUCAGGUGAUAUCAGCACAGAUUUAGGGGAAGAGACUGGUUCAGAUGAAAACCAACAUACACCGUGGUUGUCCAGGACCAGACAGAGUACAGUAGGCCUAAAGCAUCUCCAUUCACAAGAGGUAGCAUGUUACUCUCCCGUGUUUCUCUCUCUCUCGUCAUCCUAAGUGCAGCAGACAGAGAACGUGUUUGACCACUGUGAUUAUCACGGUCGUCAGUCUGUCCCAUUGUCACCAUUCAACAUGGUUUUCUACAGUUCUACAGUGAAAGCUGCUCGUGAAAUGCUUCAAUAUGAAAGCUUGGCAGAUGAUUGGUAACUCUGCUUAGAAGCACCUGCUGCUGAUCUGUUGUUCCCUACAAAUGCUGUUUUGAAUUCAAAUACAUUUGUACCUACACACUGAAGAAGGCUGUGAAGCCGAAACAUCUGUGUAUGCUAUCCCUGACGCAGUGAAAACCCUCAAAUGAACUAAGCGUUAUGCAACAUCUUGUUGAGUGAGGACCCAUUAUGCCAUUUUGUUUAGAGUAACGACAAGACAGAGAUAUGGGGGCCUGGUAUUUCCCAAUAGCUGUGCCCUUCACAUACACCAUAUUGCACUUAGCGCAGUGGUUAUUAUUCAGAGACUGAGUGGGGAACAUCAGAACCAUAUAUAUAAAUAAAUGUCUCUGGGGAACAUUAGUAAGAUCACAGUUUGUUCACACAAUGGUCUUUAAGAAGGGUGUCGAGUCAGCUAGGAGGUUAGGAAAGCACACUAUGUGUUGUAUUCUCCCAAGGAACAUAACACAGGCCUGGUCCAAAAACAACCCCUAGCCCCUACACCCCUUUGGUUUUCUAAUCUACAUGAACCAGAUAGGCAGAAGAAAUAUGGAAGGCCUAUUGGAAGGCUAGGUGGAGCCGUCACCCUACUGCUAACAGAGGCUGUGGGUUGCUCUCAGGCCAGGCCAUAAUCAGUGCUCACAUACUUCACUAAUUGACAGGCCAUACAACUAAUCGGAAUCACAACAGCUGAAUUAAGUCUGUCAUGACCUCAGAACCAUUGGAUCUGGUAGAACAUCAUGUGGAAUAGAGAAUAUCUGCUCUGUAAAUACUGAACGUUCUGACCCUGAGAAUAAGCCCUUGGACUGCCUUGUCAAUCACUGAUAGCACGGAAACACAGACAACUUCAUCAUGAUCCAUGUUAGGGAGAAGUACAGUAUUCACCUCCUCAGCUCUUUACUGAUGGGACACCCCUGGUGGUCAUUUAAAAUGAAUAUGGCCAAUCCCAUACGGACCCCUAGCCUCUAGCCCCUCGUACCAGGGCACAACUUCUAGUAGGCUGGAUAGCUGUGUGCGAUAUGGGUAAAGUUCCACAUAGCCUAUCAGGGGAAUGGUGGAGCUAUUACCAUAUUGAUUAUAUCUAUCCAGAACUAUCCUCAAGUGCCUAGGGGCUAGAGGUUGAUUUGGAACUGGCCAAGAGAGAGAUUGUGGUCUCAGGGAACACCUGUGUCAUUUCCUGCAAUCAGAACAGCCUCUCUUUGGGACAGAUUUAUUUCUUGAUUCUACCUGUUUUUACAGUAUGGGAUAAGGCACUGAAAAAAUCUUAAGCUAAAAUCAUGAAAUUGUUUCAUGAAAUUAAUUGCCAUUGUUAUCCUGCGCAUAACCUUUAUUUGACCUUUUUAUCUCCAUAACAACAGGUGUAAACAGUGACUGUGGCCCUUACAGUGUGUAGAGCACCAAGCUGUUCCUCCAAACACUGUGGGAGGUCCUCAGUGGCCACCUGUUCUCAUGCGCUGAUGAGAACAUACACUCUGGUAAUAUGGUGGUGUUGCAGGCUCUGAAGCCUCUCAGAGUGAUUGCUAUUUAUCUCUUGGCUUAAUAGGAUGUUUACCAGGGUUUUUUUUCUUCUCUUAAAUAAAAAAAAGACAAGCAUUGAAUUGAACAUAGUGGUUCAUUAGGUUUUAGUGACCCACUCACAGUGUUAUAUAUUGCAGAAACAGACUAGUGUUGAGACCACAAUUAAAAUGGGCACGAAAUGUGGAAGCAGGCUUUGCGCUCUCGCUCUCGCUCUCGCACAGAUCAACCUUACAAAAUCAAUACUCAGAGACAUUGCAC
Long non-coding RNA from Oncorhynchus tshawytscha (Chinook salmon), 2564 nucleotides. NCBI's taxonomy places the organism in Eukaryota, Metazoa, Chordata, Actinopteri, Salmoniformes, Salmonidae. The record is from Ensembl.